CGGCAUGCCUACNNUGCAGUCGAACGAGGCUUCGAGCCUUAGUGAGCGCACGGGUGCGUAACGCGUGGGAAUCUGCCCUUAGGUUCGGAAUAACAGCUGGAAACGGCUGCUAAUACCGGAUGAUAUCGCGAGAUCAAAGAUUUAUCGCCUGAGGAUGAGCCCGCGUUGGAUUAGGUAGUUGGUGGGGUAAAGGCCUACCAAGCCGACGAUCCAUAGCUGGUCUGAGAGGAUGAUCAGCCACACUGGGACUGAGACACGGCCCAGACUCCUACGGGAGGCAGCAGUGGGGAAUAUUGGACAAUGGGCGAAAGCCUGAUCCAGCAAUGCCGCGUGAGUGAUGAAGGCCCUAGGGUUGUAAAGCUCUUUUACCCGGGAAGAUAAUGACUGUACCGGGAGAAUAAGCCCCGGCUAACUCCGUGCCAGCAGCCGCGGUAAUACGGAGGGGGCUAGCGUUGUUCGGAAUUACUGGGCGUAAAGCGCACGUAGGCGGCUUUGUAAGUCAGAGGUGAAAGCCUGGAGCUCAACUCCAGAACUGCCUUUGAGACUGCAUCGCUUGAAUCCAGGAGAGGUCAGUGGAAUUCCGAGUGUAGAGGUGAAAUUCGUAGAUAUUCGGAAGAACACNNGUGGCGAAGGCGGCUGACUGGACUGUUAUUGACGCUGAGNUGNGNAGC
Molecule: ribosomal RNA, 671 nt
Filed under: Sphingomonas sp.
Lineage: Bacteria; Pseudomonadati; Pseudomonadota; Alphaproteobacteria; Sphingomonadales; Sphingomonadaceae
Description: bacterial SSU rRNA
Rfam family: Bacterial small subunit ribosomal RNA
Source: RNAcentral